AUUGGCUGCUACUGGCCAUACUUUGGAAGAUCAGAGGAGGGUUCCCACAGAGCUGGAACUCACCUCUGAGAAGAGAAUAUUGCUCAGCUGCUUCUCAUGCCUCCAAGUGAGCACAAUAGUGAUGCUCAUUCGUGAAGUUAGAAAGAAGGUGGAAACUAGAAAACCACAGCUAUAACCAACUGCUGCUGCUAAGUGGUCCGCCAAACUAUUGGUAACCCUUAUAAGAUGAGGGGUUGACCUUGGCAGCCAAUUCAACCUGAAGUGAUAGAGGAAGAAUGGGACUGUUUCAAGGGAAGGCUCCUUACAGUGAAGAAAAGGGUCAAAUCCAAUUAAAAUUGCAAAGGAAACUUCCCGAGGACGAAUGCCAUUAGCCCAAACUGGAAUGUGGCCAAAACACGGGGUAAUACUUCAACUCUUAGAAAAAGUGCCAGGGGGAUAUUUAACAACUGCAGGUGGCCAAAUGCUUUCUCAUAAGUCUCAUCAGAAAAGUCAUUUAUAGCAACAGUAUUC
Long non-coding RNA from Gorilla gorilla gorilla (western lowland gorilla), 510 nucleotides. RefSeq lists it as uncharacterized. The record is from RefSeq and is a predicted model, not a curated record. The transcript has 3 exons. Lineage: Eukaryota; Metazoa; Chordata; Mammalia; Primates; Hominidae.